This 120-nucleotide ribosomal RNA is filed under the name Acinetobacter baumannii. Its description in RNAcentral is "partial 16S ribosomal RNA". It matches the Rfam family "Bacterial small subunit ribosomal RNA", at positions 1 to 117 of the family's 1533-position model. Lineage: Bacteria; Pseudomonadati; Pseudomonadota; Gammaproteobacteria; Moraxellales; Moraxellaceae. The record is from RNAcentral.
UUUAACUGAAGAGUUUGAUCAUGGCUCAGAUUGAACGCUGGCGGCAGGCUUAACACAUGCAAGUCGAGCGGGGGAAGGUAGCUUGCUACCGGACCUAGCGGCGGACGGGUGAGUAAUGCU